RNAcentral lists this ribosomal RNA (253 nucleotides) under uncultured bacterium. RNAcentral describes it as "partial 16S ribosomal RNA". It matches the Rfam family "Bacterial small subunit ribosomal RNA", at positions 524 to 776 of the family's 1533-position model. The record is from RNAcentral.
GACGUAGGAGGCGAGCGUUAUCCGGAUUCACUGGGCGUAAAGCGCAUGUAGGCGGCUGUCUAAGUCGUGUGUUAAAGCCCCUGGCUCAACUGGGGAGGGUCACGCGAUACUGAUCGACUCGAAGGCAGGAGAGGGUAGUGGAAUUCCCGGUGUAGUGGUGAAAUGCGUAGAUAUCAGGAGGAACACCAAUGGCGAAGGCAGCUCGCUGGGACGGUACUGACGCUGAGACGCGAAAGCGUGGGGAGCAAACAGG